RNAcentral lists this ribosomal RNA (197 nucleotides) under uncultured bacterium. RNAcentral describes it as "partial 16S ribosomal RNA". It matches the Rfam family "Bacterial small subunit ribosomal RNA", at positions 328 to 539 of the family's 1533-position model. The record is from RNAcentral.
ACGCUCGACACCUACGGGAGGCAGCAGUGGGGAAUAUUGCACAAUGGGGAAACCCUGAUGCAGCGACGCCGCGUGGAGGAAGAAGGUCUUCGGAUUGUAAACUCCUGUUGUUGGGGAAAAAGAGGAUGGUACCCAACAAGGAAGUGACGGCUAACUACGUGCUAGCAGCCGCGGUAAUCUGAGCGGGCUGGCAAGGC